UAGAAGAAUUAAAGAGGUCUCUCGGUCAUGUAAAAGAGGAAUAUUUAGGCAAGAGAUAUUUUGGAUAAGACGAAGCACAAGGGUUGAUCUGCAGAAGACGGUUCAGGGGGAAUUAAAGCACUUUCUUUCGGGACCAUCGGAAUAAGAAUGAAUAGAUAGAUGCAGAACGGACGGUCUCCGGGGAUAAGAAGUGGGGAGGCCGCGAAGUUGCGGCUUCUCUCGUCAUAGUGAGUGGUC
Molecule: long non-coding RNA, 237 nt
Filed under: Linum usitatissimum (flax)
Lineage: Eukaryota; Viridiplantae; Streptophyta; Magnoliopsida; Malpighiales; Linaceae
Description: long non-coding RNA (LUSI_LNC006940)
Source: RNAcentral